This 462-nucleotide ribosomal RNA is filed under the name uncultured bacterium. RNAcentral's name for it is "partial 16S ribosomal RNA". It matches the Rfam family "Bacterial small subunit ribosomal RNA", at positions 29 to 507 of the family's 1533-position model. The record is from RNAcentral.
AACAAACGCUGGCGGCGUGCCUAAUACAUGCAAGUCGAACGGGGAAAGCUUUCGGGUGAGUACUAGUGGCGCACGGGUGAGGAACGCGUGGAUAAUCUGCCUUAGAGUGGGGGAUAACUAGUCGAAAGAUUAGCUAAUACCGCAUAAGACCACGAGAGCUGCGGCUUUUGAGGUCAAAGGUUUUUCGCUCUAAGAUGAGUCCGCGUAAGAUUAGCUAGUUGGUGAGGUAACGGCUCACCAAGGCGACGAUCUUUAACUGGUCUGAGAGGAUGAUCAGUCACACUGAAACAGAGACACGGUCCAGACUCCUACGGGAGGCAGCAGUAGGGAAUAUUGCACAAUGGAGGAAACUCUGAUGCAGCGACGCCGCGUGAGUGAUGAAGGCCUUCGGGCCGUAAAGCUCUGUCGCAGGGGAAUAACACAAUGAAGGUACCCUGUAAGAAAGGAUCGGCUAACUUCGUG